AGUAAAAGCCCCGAGUAGGAAGCCAGCAACGCCGACAUAUUUAUUGUGGAGUGAAUAGGUACAAAUUGAAGUAAAAAAUUACACUCCUCAACAAGACUUUGUUCCUGGCAAUCAAAUCGCUCUAUUCUGAUGGCUUAUAUCCUCAUUUUAAACCUUGUAGGAAUAAGAAGGGGCGACUCCAGCGAUGUCGCAGAAGUCUGAAAAGCUUCGCUUUGCAACCUAUCCGACAUGCUUCACUUGACGAGAUGGGGAUAUACAAGUCGAGAGUUGUUAUAAAGUUGAGGAAUCUCUUUACUUGGUGGUCAUUUAUAGCCAAGCCAAAUACAAAUACAAGUUGAAUUAAUUGCAGCGUGUGAAAGCAGUAGCACAUUCACGUAAUGUGCCACCAUCUUUGCAAUGCAAAACACUUCUUUGAGCCAGCUACGGAUAGGCGAAAGAUCGCAAUGUAUGCAAGUCCUUCCUGAUCAUGUGAACAAUAGUUAAUUUAAUCUACAGUCAGUUUUUCAAGACAGUACCUACCACCGAGGAUUGGACAAUUGAUCUGAUUCACUAUGUUCUUUUUUGCAGAAAUGCACAUUUGAAUACCUUCCUUUUACAUUUUUUGGCGAACUCUGUGAUGUAGUUGGUCUCUGGAAUUCAAUUGAAAUACCUUCCUUUAUUCAUGAUUUAUUGCUUUCAAUGCGUCAAUAUCUUUAAUUCAAUUCUGCCUCUUGUUACCAACGAAGAAGGAGACAAGUUCGGAAAAUCUGCUGGCGAUGGUAUUUGGCUGGACGAAGAAAAAACGUCGCCUUUUUCUCUUUAUCAAUUCUUUUUGAAAAUGCCAGAUUCUGAAGUCGAGAAUCUUCUCAAGUUGUUCACGUUGUUCAAGUUGUUUUAUCCCACUGGAAGAAAUUGCAUUUCUCAUUUAACAACACAAAAAAUCACAAACGAUUCUAGCUGAAGAUGUGACGCUUCUAGUCCAUUGAGAGGCGGGUCUAAAACAGGCAAUCCUAUCGUUAAGAUUUUUCCAGAGCCUGGACUAUCCAAUCUUGAUCUGGCACUAAAAGCUUAAUGAUUUACAACAGAGACUGAUACGAUGAGAAUCAUCACAGCUGGAGGGUUCUAUAUCAAGCAAUAGCGCCCUCAAAACUUCGCACUAACAUCACACUAACUCAUCAGCACUAACAUCACAUACCAUUUCUAUCUAUUAGUUCAAAAUGUUAAAUGUCUCCUUUUUGUUGGCAAUGAUGAGCAUAUGGAUAAAAACAAUUUGUUUUCAUUAAUAAUAAUAUUGUAUUCUUUUUUUUUAUAAAAAAAAAAUAA
Molecule: long non-coding RNA, 1302 nt
Organism: Eupeodes corollae
Lineage: Eukaryota; Metazoa; Arthropoda; Insecta; Diptera; Syrphidae
Exons: 5
Source: RefSeq, a predicted model, not a curated record